GAUGAACGCUGGCGGCGUGCCUAAUACAUGCAAGUCGAGCGAACAGACGAGGAGCUUGCUCCUCUGACGUUAGCGGCGGACGGGUGAGUAACACGUGGAUAACCUCCCUAUAAGACUGGGAUAACUUCGGGAAACCGGAGCUAAUACCGGAUAAUAUAUUGAACCGCAUGGUUCAAUAGUGAAAUACGGUUUUGCUGUCACUUAUAGAUGGAUCCGCGCCGCAUUAGCUAGUUGGGAAGGUAACGGCUUACCAAGGCAACGAUGCGUAGCCGACCUGAGAGGGGGAUAGGCCACACGGGAACGGAGACACGGUCAAGACGACUAAGGGAGGCAGCAGUAGGGAAGCUUACGCAAUGGGCGAAAGCAUGACGGAGCAACGCAGCGUGAGUGAUGAAGGUGUUCGGAGCGUAAAACUCUGUUAUUAGGGAAGAACAAAUGUGUAAGUAACUAUGCACGUCUUGACGGUACCUAAUCAGAAAGCCACGGCUAACUACGUG
Molecule: ribosomal RNA, 497 nt
Filed under: uncultured bacterium
Lineage: Bacteria
Description: partial 16S ribosomal RNA
Rfam family: Bacterial small subunit ribosomal RNA
Source: RNAcentral